GACCCGUCUUGAAGCACGGACCAAGGAGUCUAACAUGUAUGCGAGUCAUUGGGAAUGUUAAACCCAAAGGCAUAAUGAAAGUAAAGAAUUCGAUUGCGGAUUUGAGGAGAGAUCAUGUGCAUUUUUGUGAGCUGUGUAAAAACAUGUUUGCUAAUGUGCUGCGCAUCUCCUGGACGUCUAUACCUCUGAAGGUUGGGCGUACCAAGAGCAUACACGUUGGGACCCGAAAGAUGGUGAACUAUGCCUGGUCAGAACGAAGUCAGGGGAAACUCUGAUGGAGGUUCGUAGCGAUUCUGACGUGCAAAUCGAUCGUCGGAACUGGGUAUAGGGGCGAAAGACUAAUCGAACCAUCUAGUAGCUGGUUCCCUCCGAAGUUUCCCUCAGGAUAGCUGGCGCUUGAUUAAAUCAGUCUCAUCCGGUAAAGCGAAUGAUUAGAGGCCUUGGGGCCGAAACGACCUCAACCUAUUCUCAAACUUUAAAUGGGUGAGAAGUCAGGCUUGCUUAAUCGAAGCUCUGACAAUGGAUGGUGAGUGCCAAGUGGGCCACUCUUGGUAAGCAGAACUGGCGCUGUGGG
Molecule: ribosomal RNA, 574 nt
Filed under: Parisotoma notabilis
Lineage: Eukaryota; Metazoa; Arthropoda; Collembola; Entomobryomorpha; Isotomidae
Description: eukaryotic LSU rRNA
Rfam family: Eukaryotic large subunit ribosomal RNA
Source: RNAcentral